AGGAAUCUGCCUAUUAGUGGGGGACAACAUCUCGAAAGGGAUGCUAAUACCGCAUACGUCCUACGGGAGAAAGCAGGGGAUCACUUGUGACCUUGCGCUAAUAGAUGAGCCUAAGUCGGAUUAGCUAGUUGGUGGGGUAAAGGCCUACCAAGGCGACGAUCUGUAGCGGGUCUGAGAGGAUGAUCCGCCACACUGGGACUGAGACACGGCCCAGACUCCUACGGGAGGCAGCAGUGGGGAAUAUUGGACAAUGGGGGGAACCCUGAUCCAGCCAUGCCGCGUGUGUGAAGAAGGCCUUAUGGUUGUAAAGCACUUUAAGCGAGGAGGAGGCUCUUUUGGUUAAUACCCAAGAUGAGUGGACGUUACUCGCAGAAUAAGCACCGGCUAACUCUGUGCCAGCAGCCGCGGUAAUACAGAGGGUGCAAGCGUUAAUCGGAUUUACUGGGCGUAAAGCGCGCGUAGGCGGCCAAUUAAGUCAAAUGUGAAAUCCCCGAGCUUAACUUGGGAAUUGCAUUCGAUACUGGUUGGCUAGAGUGUGGGAGAGGAUGGUAGAAUUCCAGGU
This 562-nucleotide ribosomal RNA is filed under the name uncultured bacterium. RNAcentral's name for it is "bacterial SSU rRNA". It matches the Rfam family "Bacterial small subunit ribosomal RNA", at positions 119 to 674 of the family's 1533-position model. The record is from RNAcentral.